UAUAGCUUUCUAUAAGAUUGUCAUUAGAAUGACCUCUGAGGAAAUCCCUUGAUAGCUGAGCAUUUCCUGGGACAGCUGCUCCGCGCUACACUCUGCAUAAGGUGCUGUCUUCAGUCUCAGAGACCCCAGGGACAAGAAGACCUCAGGAACAAGAAGGAAGAGUUCCCUGGAAACACCUGCUACUAGUUAACCCCACCACCACCACCAAGGAAGAAACCGGACAGCAAGCGAGUGACCACGAUACAGCACGAGGACAACUUUUCCCUCCCUUGAAAGCCAACUAGGGAAACCCUGUUGAGCAUCAUCAUGUGACUCAGCUGAAACACAUCUGCGGGCACAUCAUCUGCUUCAAGACCCAGCUCUCUUUUCUAUGGUAUGCAUACUGUUUAUAUGUUUAUAUGAAGGGUCUAUAAAUAUAAAGAUAUAUAGGGUGUGGUCCUUGAGAUGAGCUUACUAAGUGGCCCCAGGCUGACCUUAGUCACAAUCCUUUUGCCUGGGUUUCUUAAAUUCUGAGAUUAAACAAACACUGGUGUGCUUG
RNAcentral lists this long non-coding RNA (538 nucleotides) under Mus musculus (house mouse). RNAcentral's name for it is "predicted gene, 49004". Lineage: Eukaryota; Metazoa; Chordata; Mammalia; Rodentia; Muridae. The record is from RNAcentral.